This 468-nucleotide ribosomal RNA is filed under the name uncultured bacterium. Its description in RNAcentral is "partial 16S ribosomal RNA". It matches the Rfam family "Bacterial small subunit ribosomal RNA", at positions 28 to 507 of the family's 1533-position model. The record is from RNAcentral.
GACGAACGCUGGCGGCGUGCUUAACACAUGCGAGUCGAACGGAAAGGCCCUGCUUUUGUGGGGUGCUCGAGUGGCGAACGGGUGAGUAACACGUGAGUAACCUGCCCUUGACUUUGGGAUAACUUCAGGAAACUGGGGCUAAUACCGGAUAGGAGCUCCUGCUGCAUGGCGGGGGUUGGAAAGUUUCGGCGGUUGGGGAUGGACUCGCGGCUUAUCAGCUUGUUGGUGGGGUAGUGGCUUACCAAGGCUUCGACGGGUAGCCGGCCUGAGAGGGUGACCGGCCACAUUGGGACUGAGAUACGGCCCAGACUCCUACGGGAGGCAGCAGUGGGGAAUAUUGCACAAUGGGCGGAAGCCUGAUGCAGCAACGCCGCGUGCGGGAUGACGGCCUUCGGGUUGUAAACCGCUUUCGCCUGUGACGAAGCGUGAGUGACGGUAAUGGGUAAAGAAGCACCGGCUAACUACGUG